CCUACGGGAGGCAGCAGUGGGGAAUAUUGGUCAAUGGACGCAAGUCUGACCCAGCAACGCCGCGUGAAGGAAGAAGGCUUUCGGGUUGUAAACUUCUUUUAAGGGGGAAGAGCAGAAGACGGUACCUCUUGAAUAAUCCACGGCUAACUACGUGCCAGCAGCCGCGGUAAUACGUAGGUGACAAGCGUUGUCCGGAUUUACUGGGUGUAAAGGGCGUGUAGCCGGAGAGACAAGUCAGGUGUGAAAUCCACGGGCUCAACCCGUGAACUGCAUUUAAAACUGUUUGCCUUGAGUGUCUGAGCGGUAAUCGGAAUCCGUGGUGUAGCGGUGAAAUGCGUAGAUAUUAGGAAGAACACGAGUGGCGAAGGCGGAUUACUGGACGAUAACUGACGGUGAGGCGCGAAAGCGUGGGGAGCAAACAGGAUUAGAUACCCGAGUAGUC
RNAcentral lists this ribosomal RNA (442 nucleotides) under uncultured bacterium. RNAcentral's name for it is "partial 16S ribosomal RNA". It matches the Rfam family "Bacterial small subunit ribosomal RNA", at positions 338 to 795 of the family's 1533-position model. The record is from RNAcentral.